UGGAAAGACUUUCAGAUGUAUUUGUAAAGC
Molecule: non-coding RNA, 30 nt
Filed under: Rattus norvegicus (Norway rat)
Lineage: Eukaryota; Metazoa; Chordata; Mammalia; Rodentia; Muridae
Source: RNAcentral